RNAcentral lists this ribosomal RNA (497 nucleotides) under uncultured bacterium. RNAcentral describes it as "partial 16S ribosomal RNA". It matches the Rfam family "Bacterial small subunit ribosomal RNA", at positions 28 to 507 of the family's 1533-position model. The record is from RNAcentral.
GAUGAACGCUGGCGGCGUGCCUAAUACAUGCAAGUCGAGCGAACGGACGAGGAGCUUGCUUCUCUGAUGUUAGCGGCGGACGGGUGAGUAACACGUGGAUAACCUACCUAUAAGACUGGGAUAACUUCGGGAAACCGUAGCUAAUACCGGAUAAUAUUUUGAACCGCAUGGUUCAAAAGUGAAAGACGGUCUUGCUGUCACUUAUAGAUGGAUCCGCGCUGCAUUAGCUAGUUGGUAAGGUAACGGCUUACCAAGGCAACGAUGCAUAGCCGACCUGAGAGGGUGAUCGGCCACACUGGAACUGAGACACGGUCCAGACUCCUACGGGAGGCAGCAGUAGGGAAUCUUCCGCAAUGGGCGAAAGCCUGACGGAGCAACGCCGCGUGUGUGAUGAAGGUCUUCGGAUCGUAAAACUCUGUUAUUAGGGAAGAACAUAUGUGUAAGUAACUGUGCACAUCUUGACGGUACCUAAUCAGAAAGCCACGGCUAACUACGUG